This is a long non-coding RNA of Gorilla gorilla gorilla (western lowland gorilla), 879 nucleotides long. RefSeq lists it as uncharacterized. The transcript is spliced from 3 exons. The record is from RefSeq and is a predicted model, not a curated record. Lineage: Eukaryota; Metazoa; Chordata; Mammalia; Primates; Hominidae.
AUCUUUUAGCCAAUGGAUGUGCAAGAGAGGGGAGGUUUGCCCCAUGUUGGCCAGUAAGAAGUGCUUGGGCCGACCCGCCUCCAAGUCCUGGGAGGACAGUUCAAAUUAUGGAGGAGGGGCUGGUGCUAGGCAGCAGUGGCGAGGGGAGUAGAGGGGAUUAGGGGGAGCACGAGAUCAUUCACCUUUGCCGCUCAGAUUACCAAGCCUGUGACUUUGAGAAUCGGUGUCUUCCUUGCAAGGUUUCGAUCUGAGGCUCUUGGGAAGAGGGCGGAAUUGGAGCCUGAUGGAAGCGCUGGAUAUGAACACCCCUUUGUUCAGCAGAUGCAUGCUGUAUGCGCUACCCUUAGUCGCUCAAACCAUUUGUUUGGUAAUAAAGAACAGAAAUUCAGCUAGUAACCUGAAAAGCAGCUGAGAAAUUCACUGUGGAAGAAGCAGACAUUCCAGAGGAGAACUGGGAAUCACUGGUACAGAUGCCCUUACCCAUUGAAACCAGAUUGCUGUAGUUCUCCAACAUCACAUCUCUGUAUAAGUCCCUCUGAACAGGGUCCAGGCAGUCCCACUCCUCCUGAGAGAAGUCUAUGGACACAUCACUGAACAUCACUGAUCCCUGAAACAAUAAACAUACGUAUUACUUGUGUAAUUAAAAAAAUGUAUCAGAGACUACGGUGCUUGUAUUGUGGGGUAAUACAAAAUGAGUCAUUAUAUUGGUGUCACUGAGAACCUGUAUCUUUAGAUCUCAGAAAUAGAUGCAAGAGUAGGAAGUUUAUAUUAAACAAAUUCCUGACUCUGUCCAUUGAAACGGCCUAGAAAUAAUGACUAAUCCAGUAGCAACGAGCAUCCCUAGAGUCUAGAUUGUGGUUUCUUUUCUUUUUUUUUUUU